This is a regulatory RNA element of Anolis carolinensis (green anole), 114 nucleotides long. It matches the Rfam family "Potassium channel RNA editing signal". Rfam says of the family: This family represents a group of sequences related to the human potassium channel Kv1.1 hairpin element which directs the efficient modification of an adenosine to inosine by an adenosine deaminase acting on RNA (ADAR). The ADAR modification causes an isoleucine/valine recoding event which lies in the ion-conducting pore of the potassium channel. It is thought that this editing event targets the process of fast inactivation and allows a more rapid recovery from inactivation at negative potentials. Lineage: Eukaryota; Metazoa; Chordata; Lepidosauria; Squamata; Anolidae. The record is from Rfam.
CUGGGAUAUGGUGACAUGUACCCUAAAACCUGGUCAGGAAUGCUGGUGGGAGCGCUUUGUGCUCUGGCUGGAGUCCUUACCAUUGCCAUGCCCGUCCCAGUAAUUGUCAACAAU